RNAcentral lists this ribosomal RNA (253 nucleotides) under uncultured bacterium. RNAcentral's name for it is "partial 16S ribosomal RNA". It matches the Rfam family "Bacterial small subunit ribosomal RNA", at positions 524 to 776 of the family's 1533-position model. The record is from RNAcentral.
UACAGAGGGUGCAAGCGUUAAUCGGAAUUACUGGGCGUAAAGCGCACGUAGGUGGUUUAAUAAGUUUGAUGUGAAAGCCCUGGGCUUAACCUGGGAAUGGCGUUGAAGACUGUUAAACUCGAGUCGGACAGAGGGUUGUGGAAUUUCCGGUGUAGCGGUGAAAUGCGUAGAGAUCGGAAAGAACACCAGUGGCGAAGGCGACAGCCUGGGUCCAGACUGACACUGAGGGGCGAAAGCGUGGGGAGCAAACAGG